UAUAUAUGGUCGUAUUUAUGCUGGCCUUCAAGAUGUUUAUUUUGGACCCACUUUGAUGUAACAUAUUAAUGCUCACAAUUUUCCCUACUCUAGAAGAGCAACUGUAAACAUUUUAGUCAUGGAGCAGCCUGGUUUCUGAAUUUUGAGACACUUGCUUCAUAUUUGGCAGUUCUCUGCACAUAAUGAGGAGAGGAUGUCUUCGGCCUUUCACGUAGCCACCAUUUAAAGCUACCCCCACCUUCCACAUGUCUGCCCCAUCUGCCUCCCUUCAAGUUUGCCUUUGUUAUGCAGUGGAAAGAAUGGGCAAAGUGAAGAUGAAAAGCACUGAAAACCACUACAGAUAGAAAAAAAAAUUUGAAUAAUUCCCUUAAAAGUGGUUUAAUUCUGGUUGCGCCACAGAAUAAAAUUCAGAUGUUGCUAUGCUGGAGUCAGCAUUGGAUGAAUUUGCCUUCCCAGAUGGAGUGACUAACAUUUCCAAAAAGUUGGACAUUGUCAACUUUUCUUCCUACCCUCCCCAUACCAUACAGGAAAAGCACUGGCCCACCAGAUGAAAAUCCAUAUCUGCAAACAAGAGCAAUAAAAACUUCCCUUUCCUUGCCAAGAUAACAACUGGUCAGGAGCCCUGUCUCAUUCUAAUGACUCUUCAAGUUGCUUAAACGACUUGCUAUUACCAGCUACAAACAGGAACUAGAGCUCGAGUCAAUAGGCAGGAAGGCGAGGGAGGGGAAGUCGGCAAGGGAGUCCGGAGUCAUUUUGAUUAUGCAGCAGGACUGGAAGAAGAGGAGCAGCCCAGGCUGGCAGGCAGCUUAGGUUUGCACUGGAAUGGAAUCCAAACGGGAUAAAAUACUAUGAAGAGCUGUUUGGAAGAGCUGCAUGGGAAGUCAACCCUUUCUCAAGACUUAAGGGAGCCACCUGCAAAGUAUCUCCUUCAUUACCAUUGGGAUUCCCAUUGUAUGCAUUUCUGGGAUUUUGGAUCUCCAUAUUUCAAGGUACAGAAAUGUUUUUUAAAAAGGAUUACAGAUUUAUCAUCCGCUAGAUUUUAUAAAGCCAUUGCUGCAUUGUUUAAUCUCCAAGAGAUGGUUAUAAUGUCAGCAAGCCCCUACUGUUUCAAAGACUCUUAAGUUUAGUGGCAGAAAGGACCUUGGAGGUCAUCAAGUCUAACUACAUCAUUUUUUCAGUCAAGGAAACUCAGGUCAAGAAAGAUUAAAUGAUUUUCCCAAGAUCAUGUACCCAGUAAGUUUCUGAGAAAGCAUUUGAACGCAAGUCUUCCUGCUUCCAAGUCCAGUACUCCAUUCACUGCAUCAAAUCUUGGACUAAUUUGGAUGGAGCAAACAUUGUGGUCUACAAGCUGACAAAAACCACAUCAACGAUUUUGAAUGUGUGGAUGUGGUGAUGGUUGAGCAGAGAAGCAGUAAGCAAAUUCCAGCUGCCUAACAUGUCACUUUCUAUGAAUGAAGACCAUCUAUUAAAAUAAAAAAUAGCCCCUGGAACCA
Molecule: long non-coding RNA, 1493 nt
Filed under: Phascolarctos cinereus (koala)
Lineage: Eukaryota; Metazoa; Chordata; Mammalia; Diprotodontia; Phascolarctidae
Description: lncRNA (ENSPCIG00000034517.1)
Source: RNAcentral